This is an RNA transcript of Chenopodium quinoa (quinoa), 2200 nucleotides long. RefSeq lists it as uncharacterized. NCBI's taxonomy places the organism in Eukaryota, Viridiplantae, Streptophyta, Magnoliopsida, Caryophyllales, Amaranthaceae. The record is from RefSeq and is a predicted model, not a curated record. The transcript is spliced from 10 exons.
UUUGGAUCCACAGUUUACGGGUCAAACCAAAUUCAGCUCCGACUCAAAUUCGGGUAAAUUCAAGUCAAUGUUUUGACACCUGUACAUACCACGUGUCAGUUAUAUUCCUCUUUAUUUUUCCUUUUUUUUUUUUUUUUGGAGCGUUCACUUUUCACGCUGCACGGCACACUCUUCCCUUUCCCCUCUCCCACCUCCAUUGAAGCUUACUCUAAUACUCCAUUAAAGCUACUUCUGAGCUUUCCCUCCUCCAUUGGAGCAGAUUCUGAGAAUGCAGUGUUAGUCUUACUGAAAGACAAUAGACAAGAAAAAGAGAGUGAAGAUUCCUCAGUAAGUGGAGUGUGCUACUGCAAGUUGAUUUUGUGAAAGAACAAUGGUGGAGCGAUUCUUUGAUGGCAGUAGCACCAACUCUGUUACCACUGUUGCUGUACAACCUCAAGGAGGCUGUUGCUUUACAUCUGAUCCAAUUACGCUGCUCACUGGCCCUCCAUCCUGUGGGAAGACAUCACUUCUAUUUCAGUUCGCUUUGAACAUGGCAGCUCACUGUCAGUCCACGUCACAGGGAUACAUUGUCUUUAUCUGCAAUCGUCGCCGUUUUGAAACCAAACCUCCUUUCCUCUCUCAGGGAGUUGAUGCUUCUUCACACAUCUUUCAGCGAAUUCAUAUCAAGUAUAUGGAUGAUUAUGAUGAUGAAGGCAUCAAGAAAUUUUUUGCUGCCUUCCAUCUUCUUCAUCCUUUGCCCCUUGCUGUUAUUAUUGAUGAUUUUGGUGACUUCUUUCUUGAAAGCAAGUGUCAAAUGAAGUAUAAUAAUCCUCGUGGAAGGGACUUAGCCAUGGUUCGAGUUUUAGCCCUUUGUCAUAGUGCAAUCAUCCAUGCCAGUAAAACAACAGCUUGCCAGCUUUUGCUCUCUGAUACGUAUCACGGAGACUUUCCUAGACAAUUCAUCUACAAAAGAUGGAUUUCGUCUAUUUUCACAAUCCAAGGUGAAGGUGAUGGAUGUGGCUCAUUUCUUCUUAAACAUAGUGUGCAAACGCAAGGAAGGAGCAUAGGAAAAAGGAGUGCUAGAUACUCUAUAGCGCUUCAGUACCUGGUUUUGGAGGGAGUCAGGGAAGACACACAGAUUUGAAUGUUUGAUGUAAUAUGUUACUUGCUUCUGGAGAAUCAAUCCAUCACUCCACCAAUUAUAAUGUGAUAUGAAGGUUUUGGUGCGUGUUGAUGUGGUUACCUUUAGCCUGUGAUUUUCAAAACUAGCUGACGUUGAUUGCAAUGCUUGAAGAAGAUGUCGGCCUACAGAAAAUCGAGGCUGCUGUAAUUCAUCUGUUCAGAAGUAAUAGACAGUGGUAUUCAGUACGGAGUAUAUGUUAGCAUAGUAUGUACUCGAGACAUUCUUAGAUAGGGAUGUAAACCAGCAUGGCCAUAUGGGUGUUCCUGCUGUGCAAAACUCGAUUAAUAGAAUACAAGAAGAUUGUGAUGAUUCUAACCUGAGGGAUUUGCCGAAGCUAUAUGAAGUAAAAGCAAAAGAAUCAUGAUUGUGACUGAUGUUGCCGCUGCAAUUCCAGUAGUAGAAGAAUGACAGAAUUUGAUCAUCUCAUGUGAGCUUCUUAUACGCUUCUCGGUUGCCAUCGACAUGAAUUUAAAAACUUAAGAAGUUUAGCUAGAUUUUCAGUAAGCUAGAGAGGAGAACUAUUUAUAUAAUGAUCACGGGUUACCAAUUUGGGUGAAAUGAGGCAAUAUUGACUGAGUCAAUUGAUUGAGACUUUGAAAGUGUAGUUCGUGGAAUUAGUGUCAUUGCCAGCCUGCCAUUUUUUAGUUUAUCCACCGAACUGUGUGUUCGGUACAACGUUCUUCAGAUACUUGAAAAACGACGUAUAUAUAUAGACAUUUCAAACAUGCAUGAGGUAAACACGCUUAAAUGUUUCAUUCAUUAUACCAGUAUUACAAAGUACAGUAUACUUAAAUAAAAAUGUUUUUAAUUAUUUAAAUAGAUAGGAUAUUAUUUUAAAUUUUUAUGUAAGUGAGUAACUAACGCAAAUAAUUGUGUUGAUUUUAGGCUGUUUGAAUUCAUGUUUGGUUAGGUUUUUGUCUUCCUUCUAUAGCUUUAGGUUGGAUAAAGUUAGUUAAUUGACAAAUAGGUAUUUAAUUUUCAUAUUUAUGAUGUAUCUCAUAUCUUUUAUACAAUAACAAAUGGGUUUAGUAUUAUUAA